AUUGAACGCUGGCGGCAUGCUUUACACAUGCAAGUCGAACGGCAGCGCGUGCUUCGGCCUGGCGGCGAGUAGCGAACGGGUGAGUAAUCCAUCGGAACGUGCACAGGAGUGGGGGAUAGCUCGGCGAAAGCCGGAUUCAUACCGCAUACGACCUGAGGGUGAAAGAGGUGGAACUUCGGACCUCGCGCUUUUGGAGCGACCUAUGGCAGAUUAGCUUGUUGGUGGGGUAAAGGCCUACCAAUGCGACGAUGUGUAACUGCUCAGAGAGGAAGACCAGCCAAGCUGGCACUGAGACACGGCCCAGAAUACUGCGGGUGGGAGAAGGGGGGAAUUCUGGCGGAUGGGCGAAGGGCGGAUCCAGGAAUGCCGGGUGAGUGAUGAAGGCCGUCGGGUUGUAAAACACUGUAGGCGGGAACGAAAAGAAAUGUGCCAAUAUCACGAGAAGAUGACGGUACCCGAAGAAUAAGCACCGGCUAAUUACGUG
RNAcentral lists this ribosomal RNA (484 nucleotides) under uncultured bacterium. RNAcentral's name for it is "partial 16S ribosomal RNA". It matches the Rfam family "Bacterial small subunit ribosomal RNA", at positions 29 to 507 of the family's 1533-position model. The record is from RNAcentral.